Long non-coding RNA from Helianthus annuus (common sunflower), 1666 nucleotides. RefSeq lists it as uncharacterized. The record is from RefSeq and is a predicted model, not a curated record. Lineage: Eukaryota; Viridiplantae; Streptophyta; Magnoliopsida; Asterales; Asteraceae. The transcript is spliced from 2 exons.
AAUUAGGACGGGCGGGUCAGUUAGGGUUGAAAAAAAAAAAGAAAGCUGGGUCAUCUUCUUCAAUCUGACUGAAUCAACGCCUCUAGUCCUCUGCCUUCUCCUCCGCCACAGACUUCCGCCAUCUCCUUCGCCGUCAAUACAUCAUCUUCAAUCUUCAACCUCUCCUUCAAGAAAUCCUUCUUCGCUCGUUAAUCUCUCGGUCUGCAUCAACGAUUUCUUCACAUCGAAUCGGAUACAGAUGGCUACAAUCUGAUCCACGAGUGAGUGAUCAUAUAAACAUGGAUUUACGAGAUGAAAGCUCAAGACUCGGAUCGAAUAUACAGAAUUUAUCAUCUUCAUUUCAUUUCUACCAACAAUCCUUACACUAUGAACAGAUUUGUGGCUCUUUUUGCUGCCCCUUUGCUUUCUUUUCAUUUCAUUUCUACUAACAAUCCUUACACUAUGAACACAAGGUUCAUUGCUGCUGACACUCUUCAGAAACUUAUGGUUCUUGUGGGUUUAGCUCUUUAUUAUAUUAAUUAUUGAACUUUAUCAGUAGUUAGGAUAAAUUUAUUACUGUGUUUGUUUUAUUAUAACUAUUAGUUUAUUAGUUGUGAUGAAAUUAUAAAAAAAAAUGUUUUUAAUAAUCAAUAAGCUUCUGGAGGGAAAAAAACUGACCUGACCCGACCCGAAACCUGUUCUGACCCGGACCCGACCCGAAACCCGUUCUGACCCGGACCCGUUUCGACCCGAACCAAAACAACCCUUUUUUAUAAUUGACCUGUUUUGACCCGAACCCAUUUUGACCCAUGACCCGACCCGACCCGUUUGCCAGGUCUAAUUGCAGUUAUUAAGUAUUAAUUAAAUUGUACGGAUUUACCGGUUUUGUGUCAGUUGUCACAUGGGUUUGGUAAUGGAUAAUUUUAAUACUUGGAAUAAAUUUUGAAAAUAAUUUAUAGUAUAGCCUAAUAAAAGUUAUAUAUGUAUUAUAUAUAAAAAUAAUAAAUAAAAAUGUAUAAUUUUUAUUCGAAUUUCGAAUCGAAUUUGAAACUAUAAAUUCGUAUUCGAUUUACUGGACUCGAAUUGAAUCGAAUUCGAAUUCUUAUAAUCGAAACGAAUUCUUGAUAAUCGAAUCGAAUUUAAACGAAUUUCGAUUUUUUCGCGAAACGAAUUCUGAACACCCCUAAUGUAAACUCCUUAUAGACAUAAGUACAUAUAAAAGAUGUCUAACAAACUUAAUAGAAUUUGAAUACAACUUAAGUUUCAACAAACAUUAACUACGAACAUACGACCACCUGCCUCAACAACUUUCAUCAAAGCUCAAUCAAGAGUUUGUUACGCAGCAACAUCUCCUUUGCUACAUAUUGUCUCCUGGUUACAUAUGCUACUGGAGACAAUGUAGGCUACUGAUCCAACAAUCUCCCUAUACAACAGAUGCUACCAAAACCCUUCUUUAUCACUGAUUUUUAUAUCUCAUCAAUAUCUCCCUGAUUUAUCCUUUGAAUUAUAGUUCAAAAGCUAGGGAGAACAUGUCUUCUUAUUUGAAUUGGUAACCCUCUAGAACAGCUAAUACAACCACAAACAAUUUUCAAAGAAUAUUAAUGGUAAAACCAUACAGAAUUUUCAUUUAAAAAUCUAUAAAUCUUCAUAACACGAUAAAUAAAUUUUCUAUUCAUUAAAAAAAUAA